This is a non-coding RNA of Heterocephalus glaber (naked mole-rat), 3318 nucleotides long. NCBI's taxonomy places the organism in Eukaryota, Metazoa, Chordata, Mammalia, Rodentia, Bathyergidae. The record is from RefSeq and is a predicted model, not a curated record.
CUUUGCUUAGGGAGUGCCAUCUGGCCAGACUAAGGUCUGUUUUACUUUCCAACUUGUCCGGUGUGUUCCUUCCCAGGUGUUCUUCGCUGCAGUCAGCUCCUUGGAGCGUUUGGUAAGGCCCUUGGUCUUACAACGUGACUUCUGCUCUUCCUCAAAGUCACCGUGACCGUGAAAGGGAAACGUUUUGAGUCAGUUGAGACAGCUGUGACCAUGCAACUAAAGACACUCAGGAAAGAGGACUUGAGACCUGCUUCCGAAAGUGGGAGGUGAUUAGUCCUUCUGCACCACCUCAGCCCACAGCCAAGGCCCGGGCCAGACAGCUGCACAGGGAGCUCACACCACGGCCUCACCAGCAACCAUCACCAACACCUGGAAUACCCAGGCGCUGCUUCAGGUGUCCCCAUGUGGAAGCCUAACUAACUGCCUCAGCAGCGCCCCGGUGCUGGGGACCCUACAAUGCGACAACUGCAGGCAAGAAUCCCUGUGAACGCACCGCGGACGGAGAGGAGCACGGCGGCCUCAGUUACGGAGCAGGGGCUGAGAACACAGGGAGGAGAGACACAGGCUCGGGUGGAAGGCCGGUGACCAUGGCCCAGAAAGCUCCCUGGUGCAGAGGCAGGUGUGCCGAGGAUGUGCGGGCGCGGCCUCCUCUUCCACUGGAGCUCGCCAGGCUGCCAGCCCUGGCCUGAGGCUCUGGCCCCGUGUUGAUGGGGCAGUGUCUGGAGCGGGGCUUCACGUGGGGCUGCCACUCUCCAGGCUCAGUGCUCAGUGGGGGCCACACACAAAGACUGGGGGAGGGCAGGACAGGGUGCUGACAUCCAGGGCUGGGAGGGCUUCACAUGCAGCCCCGGGACCCCAGGGGCACCCUUGCUCAUGCUGCGCUCCUGUGACGAUGAUGAAUCCAUCUUCCGUGCCUCAGUUUCCUCUCCGUGGGAUGGGAAUAUCAGUAAAAGUCUCUCACGGGUGUCUGUGACGACUCCUUGUGCCCUCACUGGGUGCUGUUGGCCGAGACUCUGAGGAGAGACACCCAGAGCCCCUUUCCCGGCUUCCAUGCAAUUCAGCUCAGAGAAACAAACCCGAGAGAAAACAGCUGCGCCAACCACCUGACUGCUAAGAUCCUCCCCUCAGCUUGCCGCCAGGGGCUGACACUUCCCGGGGUGCAGGACCGUGAGGUUUCUGGCCAUAGCCUCACAAUUUACAAUCGGUUUGAUGCAUCCAGGGCACGUGAGGUGUUCUGGGCAGCAGAACUCCGACUUGAAGUUACCGCCAGGCACCCAUUCGUUCGGCCUGGUCAAGUGAGAGUGGAAUGAGGAGCAGAACCAUUCCUGUCACCCGAGGGUUCCUGUUAAGGCAGCCUUCGGGUGAUGCAUUUAAAGUUGAGCCAGGCUUCAGAUCGGCUUGGGCUUUUUUGGUGAGGCGGGGGUGGUUUGAGACAGGGUCUCCCUAUGUAACCCAGGCUGGCCUCAAACUCAUGGCGAUUCUCCUGCCUUAGCCUCCCGGGAACAUUGCUUGGGAGACCCUAACUUCAGUGAUGUUCAUAAACUUCACAGCCUCUAAACUACAACUCCGCAUCUCGGCUAAAUUAAAAUCCUGAAGGAGCAUCCUUUAAGCCUAGUAAGAUUGUCUUGAAAUAGCACACGCCCGCAUUGUGAGUACAGAGCAUCCCUUUCCCCUGAAAAAGAAUCCAAUCCCCAAGUCCUGUUGAUGGACUUGAGAGCAGGAAUUUACCCAACCGCAGUGUUUCAGGGCGCGGCCUUUGGAGGGGACCAACUUCAGGUGAGGAUGUGGGGGACCCCACGAUGGAAUUCUGGAGCUUUGUGAGAAGAGCGAUGGAGGUCAGUGACACGCAUAGACGCACUCACUCUCCAUCCCAGGCCCUGCCUGGGACCUGGCAGCAAGAAAGCCUGGGUCCCAGCAGUGGUGAUGGCGGCUCUGUGCCCUUGGACCUCAAGGACGCUGAGCUAAAGAACCUCUCUUCAUUAGGAAGCUGGCCUGACCCAGGUACUUAGUUACAGUAAUGAAAAUGUGACUAAGAGCAAAAGAACAAAGCCAUGUGAGGCUGAGAAGCCCCCCGGAUGGAUGCGACAGCAGAUGCUGACAAGCAGGCCCUAGCACUCUUUCUCAGUGCUUCUACCCCCUGGGUGCUGUGGUGCAGACCCGUAAUUCCAGCUACCAGGGAGGCUGAGGCAGGAGGAUCACUUGAAACUAAGAGUUCAAAAUCAGCUUGGGGAACUGAGCAAAGACACUACUGCCUGUAAACAGACAAACAAAAAUAAAGCUCCGCUUCAACAUCGAUAAAGAGAGGUGCAAAGUAUAUAGCCUGAUAAUUCCAAAAAAGAAAAAAGAAUUUCACCUCAUAAUUAUCAAAGAAGUUCUCUUUGAAAGAUUUCAAAAGAUUACUUCAACAGUUGUUCUUCCUCCUCCUCCUCCUGUCCCUAGCUGUCCUCCUUUUCCUCCUUCUUCUUCCUUUUCCUCCUCCCUCUUCUUCCUCUUCCUUUUCUGUGCUGGGAUCAAACCAGAAUCCACAGUAUUAGGCAAACAGUCUAUCCCUGAACUACAUUCCCCACCCUAAUUCAAUAAUUUUAAAGCAAUAUCUUCAAUUCUGGUGGUAGUGUCAGGUGGUCAUCCUCAUGAGUGGCAUAUCACGGUGGCGUUUUAGAGUGUAAAGUGACAGUAGGUGUCCCAAGCCAUAAAUGUACUCCAUACUUUUUGGCCCUGUAAUUCAAAUUUCAAUAAUUUAUCCUCAGGAAAUAUUCCAAAAGAGAUGAUAAUUUAGAAGAAGCAUAAUGCUUAUUAUAGCUUUUUAUGCCAGAGGAAAAAGAUAGUCAUUUGUAGCAGGGGUUGGCAAACUGUCCCUCAGCCAGACUGGCCCUCUGAGUGUUGGAACACAGUCUCGCCCUUUCAUUCCAACGUGUAGCUCUGGCUGUGCUCAUAUUGUAAAGGCACAGACCUUGGCUCAUAAAACUGAAAAAUCUUUACUGUUGGCUCAUUCUGUAGUGUUGACUUUUCAAAAUCCUGGAUUAUGAUAUCACUGACCUAUUCAUCAAAGUAUUUACUUUAUAUCCUUCUGUAAAUCGUAGGUCUAAGUGUAGGUGUUUUAUGCUUUUUUACAGUUAUAGAUAAGAGUACUUUUUAAAACUGAUGUUCUCUUGUUAAUGAUGGCUGAUGUAGCAAAAGCUUUGGAUUUCCAAAUAUUUAUGUUGUAACCAACCACACUGAAUUCUCUUAGUCAGUUAACCUUUACUAGAUCUUCUUAAAGCUUUUGAGCAGACAUAGUAUGUGGCAGUGUUAAAAUAAUAUUUUGUGCCCUCGUUUCCA